CUACGGGAGGCAGCAGUAGGGAAUAUUGCACAAUGGGGGAAACCCUGAUGCAGCAACGCCACGUGUGGGAAGAAGCAUUUCGGUGUGUAAACACUGUCGUGAGGGAAUAAGGCUAAUUUUCGGAUCAGUUGAAUGUACCUCGAGAGGAAGCACCGGCAAACUUCGUGCCAGCAGCCGCGGUAAU
This 184-nucleotide ribosomal RNA is filed under the name uncultured bacterium. RNAcentral's name for it is "partial 16S ribosomal RNA". It matches the Rfam family "Bacterial small subunit ribosomal RNA", at positions 339 to 524 of the family's 1533-position model. The record is from RNAcentral.